This 484-nucleotide ribosomal RNA is filed under the name uncultured bacterium. RNAcentral describes it as "partial 16S ribosomal RNA". It matches the Rfam family "Bacterial small subunit ribosomal RNA", at positions 28 to 507 of the family's 1533-position model. The record is from RNAcentral.
AUUGAACGCUGGCGGCAUGCUUUACACAUGCAAGUCGAACGGCAGCGCGGGCUUCGGCCUGGCGGCGAGUGGCGAACGGGUGAGUAAUGCAUCGGAACGUGCCCCGUAGUGGGGGAUAGCCCGGCGAAAGCCGGAUUAAUACCGCAUACGACCUGCGGGUGAAAGCGGGGGACCGAAAGGCCUCGCGCUAUUGGAGCGGCCGAUGUCGGAUUAGCUAGUUGGUGGGGUAAAGGCUUACCAAGGCGACGAUCCGUAGCUGGUCUGAGAGGACGACCAGCCACACUGGGACUGAGACACGGCCCAGACUCCUACGGGAGGCAGCAGUGGGGAAUUUUGGACAAAGGGGGCAACCCUGAUCCAGCCAUGCCGCGUGCGGGAAGAAGGCCUUCGGGUUGUAAACCGCUUUUGUUCGGGAAGAAAUCCUCUGGGCUAAUACCCCGGGGGGAUGACGGUACCGGAAGAAUAAGCACCGGCUAACUACGUG